AUCUAAAGCCUAGUAGAAGGGGCUGCUGGCAGCCUGGUUUCUGAUCUUGCUUCAGUGAAGGAAGAGGUUCCCUAUGCUGCUCUGAUUUGGUCCUAUGAAGACAAAGUGGAGUGAAGUGGGAUUAACAUAAAGAAAAAAAAGACAUCAGAAGAAAAGGUUUGGAAGUGAAAGAUUGAGCAAAUGUACUUGUGGCAAAAUCAUUUGAAGGAGUCAGGAUGAAAAAUGAUGUACAUAUUGUUCCUGAAGACAGCAAGUCACAGAGACAUGAUUCAAGGCUGGAUCUUAGGAAGAGCAAGUAGAAGCAAGGCUACAUCAGAGAUGAAGUGAAGGAUGCCAGGCGUACCUCUGGACCUGAAUUUCUCCAGCAAAUAGAACAGACUGCUUAGAGAUCUUCCUUGGUGAAAUGAAAUCAUAUUACUUUGUAGGAAAGCUCACUCUAAUGUUUUCAAUCUCUGUAGAAUUCAAUAUGCAUUCCAAUUGCUUGAGAAGAAUGGCUUUUAAAGACAGCGUAGGUAAGACAUGCUUUUGGUUUGUAGCACAGUGGCUGUCGCAUCCUGCAGAUUCUGUCCCUCUUCCAUUGGAGAUUUCGCCAGGACACUUCCUGAAGGAGUUCACUCUUUUCUUUUAGUUCACAAAAUGAUUUGGGUUUGGGUAUGGAUGAUGGGGAACAAGAGUUAAGGAAAAAAAACUAAAAUCCUCAGUAAAGGGCAUUAGUGUUCAUGAAGUUUUUGCUUCCUGUUAUACAUUCCUGCCAUAGAAUGAACUAAAUUUUUGGAUUUUCUUCAAAGAUAGAAUGUGAUUGUGCUCAGAGUAUUAUGGCAGCCAAAAGGAAACCUACAAUCCAUAUCCCUUUUGCUCUUCAGUGUAGAACGAUUAUGAACAGAGAGGCAGACAUUUCCCACUGCACACAAACCUCAUCCUAUGAUACCUGUAUUGUGAAUUAGAAAAACUUCCUUGAAGUCUUCUAUAAGAUGCUGUUCUUGGACCAGAGAUACAUUAAGGGAAUUUGUAUCUUUCACGGUACUUCUCAGCUGUCUUAUAAAAACUGUAUUCUUCGGUGUUACAGCAGUAUUUUCCAAGCAGUUGUCACUAAAGACUUUGUGGACUGUAGCUUUUCCCUCUGCUUUUCUGGCUAUUUCUGCUGGUUAAUGCAUAGAGAAGGAAGAAUCACAUCUCUGAUCUUUAUGGCCUUUCUCUGCGAGGCUCAGCCCAGCUCAGGGCUCAUUGUAUCCCUCAGAGAAGGAAGCUUAACAUGCGAUGGCGAUACUCCACAGUCUGUCUUCAGCGUCUUUAUUUCAUGUCACAGGGACAGAAGAGAGAGCAGGUGGUGUGAUAAAGUAAUUAUGCACCGAAACUUAAAGUGCAGUUCACCUCAUCACUCUGUAGCAGCAGAGAUGAAAAUAAGCCAUGAUAAUGCCAGCACUCACCUGAAUAAAAAGAUUGCCCUGGUUGUAAUAGCAUUCAUUUGUUCCUUCAUACUGCUCCUUGUGCAGAAAGUUCAUCCAAGAAAGAAAAAACUGACUUAGAAUAUAAAAACGAAGACGUUCACCUAGCAACUAACUGGAUGUGUUCCAGUACUUGCUGAACCCCCUGUGGAGUGUUUCUUAUUGAUUUGUCAUGGAAUCUAUCAAAAGACCUGUUUCAGCUGUAGAUGUGCUGCCUGUGAGACUGGAAUUGGUGAACCGUAUUGUGCUCUGUUCCUGGAAACCUUUCUGCCUCUGAGAUCAAAAGAAAAAUUAAAGUGUUUUAUUCUUUUCCUCUCCCUUUCAUAUACUGAUGUCUCUUAGCUCAAACAAUUUAGAUGCUUCUCAAGUGAAGCUGGCAAAAGAUCCGGAGUGGGAGAAGUUUACUUGUGUGUGCAGGUUUGAUACCAGGCAGUAUUCCAAAAAAUAACCACGCUAACUAUGAUCUGAGAUAAGGUCUACAUAGUCUGGCUUAAGUUAAUCAUAAACUGUGUUCUGCUGGGUUGAUUUCUGCCCUUCACAAAAUCAUUCUUAAAAAAGCCAAAUAGAAAAUGCUUGUGCUGCUCAGACCAAAGUUUCAGCAGGAAAGGAUAAAAGGUUCUUGAGCAGAGAAUGGCUGCACCACUGACCACCUCUGUGUGCAGGACUGUGGCCAGGCUUUGCCUAAUGAUCUCAAGAGACAC
RNAcentral lists this long non-coding RNA (2146 nucleotides) under Gallus gallus (chicken). RNAcentral's name for it is "lncRNA (ENSGALG00010015689.1)". Lineage: Eukaryota; Metazoa; Chordata; Aves; Galliformes; Phasianidae. The record is from RNAcentral.